Molecule: long non-coding RNA, 244 nt
Filed under: Lathyrus oleraceus (garden pea)
Lineage: Eukaryota; Viridiplantae; Streptophyta; Magnoliopsida; Fabales; Fabaceae
Description: Pisum sativum (pea) long non-coding RNA (PSAT_LNC013156)
Source: RNAcentral
UUGGAGGUAAGGCCUAACAAAACAAAGCAAUGUGUGAAGGGAGAGAUCAUCAGAUCAAUGCAUUUCACAUGUUUCACCUUGCUUCGUUCUCUAUCUCUCUCGAAUGUCCUUUUUUUCCGGAGCUAGCUCCGCCGCGUCGGAGGCAGUAGUGCUGAUUAAAUGGAGAUGGUAGUUUCCUUUCUCCUAAUCUCUCAAUAAUUCAACUUUAAACUCGCUUAAUUCCCUAAACCGAGCAAAAAUAGCU